Molecule: ribosomal RNA, 474 nt
Filed under: uncultured organism
Description: partial 16S ribosomal RNA
Rfam family: Bacterial small subunit ribosomal RNA
Source: RNAcentral
ACUCCUGCGGGAGGCAGCAGUAGGGAAUCUUCGGCAAUGGGGGCAACCCUGACCGAGCAACGCCGCGUGAGUGAAGAAGGUUUUCGGAUCGUAAAGCUCUGUUGUAAGUCAAGAACGAGUGUGAGAGUGGAAAGUUCACACUGUGACGGUAGCUUACCAGAAAGGGACGGCUAACUACGUGCCAGCAGCCGCGGUAAUACGUAGGUCCCGAGCGUUGUCCGGAUUUAUUGGGCGUAAAGCGAGCGCAGGCGGUUUGAUAAGUCUGAAGUUAAAGGCUGUGGCUCAACCAUAGUUCGCUUUGGAAACUGUCAAACUUGAGUGCAGAAGGGGAGAGUGGAAUUCCAGGUGUAGCGGUGAAAUGCGUAGAUAUAUGGAGGAACACCGGUGGCGAAAGCGGCUCUCUGGUCUGUAACUGACGCUGAGGCUCGAAAGCGUGGGGAGCGAACAGGAUUAGAAACCCGAGUAGUCCCAUGA